RNAcentral lists this ribosomal RNA (444 nucleotides) under uncultured bacterium. Its description in RNAcentral is "bacterial SSU rRNA". It matches the Rfam family "Bacterial small subunit ribosomal RNA", at positions 331 to 792 of the family's 1533-position model. The record is from RNAcentral.
CCAGACUCCUACGGGAGGCAGCAGUCGGGAAUAUUGCGCAAUGGAGGAAACUCUGACGCAGUGACGCCGCGUAUAGGAAGAAGGUCUUCGGAUUGUAAACUAUUGUCGUUAGGGAAGAGAAAGGACAGUACCUAAGGAGGAAGCUCCGGCUAACUACGUGCCAGCAGCCGCGGUAAUACGUAGGAUGCGAGCGUUAUCCGGAUUUAUUGGGUUUAAAGGGUGCGCAGGCGGCGAGUUAAGUCAGCGGUAAAAUUGCGGGGCUCACCCCCGACAAGCCGUUGAAACUGGCUUGCUAGAGUGGGCGAGAAGUAUGCGGAAUGCGUGGUGUAGCGGUGAAAUGCAUAGAUAUCACGCAGAACUCCGAUUGCGAAGGCAGCAUACCGGCGCCCAACUGACGCUCAGGCACGAAAGCGUGGGUAUCGAACAGGAUUAGAUACCCUUGUA